Molecule: long non-coding RNA, 412 nt
Organism: Adelges cooleyi (spruce gall adelgid)
Lineage: Eukaryota; Metazoa; Arthropoda; Insecta; Hemiptera; Adelgidae
Exons: 4
Source: RefSeq, a predicted model, not a curated record
AAACAUGUUUUUCUUAGAUUAGAUUAUAAUAUUUUAACUUUUAUAAUAUUUUUAAAAAACAUUUUAUUUAAUUUCAGAUGUUGAUGAUUGGUGUUUACAAUGUCAAGAUGUACCCGGGUGCUGCAGGUGAUAUUGAGCUAAUGCUGUCCGUAAUUCAUCUUCAAGCAAUUUAAAAAUUAAUAUUUCAAUUAUAAAAUAAUACACAUUGUAAUUAUGACUAUUUAAUUCAUACCUUGCGUAUUGAUAUUACUUGUUUAAAGGUAUAAUUUUUUAUGUGUUACACGAAUUAUUUAUGUUUGAAAAAUAUGUUAUGAAUAAACUGUUUAAAUGUAAUAAGUUGCAAACAAUUUAAUUUCCAUUAAAAUGUAUUUACACUUAACAAUAUAAAAUUGUAUUUGAAUGUAAUAUUCAA